UCCCUCAUAGCUCAGUCAGUAAAGUGUCUGCCUGUAAUGCAGGAAAGUCAGGUUUCGAUUCCUGGUUUGGGAA
This 73-nucleotide transfer RNA is filed under the name Bos taurus (domestic cattle). It matches the Rfam family "tRNA". Rfam says of the family: Transfer RNA (tRNA) molecules are approximately 80 nucleotides in length. RNAcentral also lists the same sequence under 5 other names. The record is from Rfam by way of RNAcentral. Lineage: Eukaryota; Metazoa; Chordata; Mammalia; Artiodactyla; Bovidae.